This 253-nucleotide ribosomal RNA is filed under the name uncultured bacterium. RNAcentral's name for it is "partial 16S ribosomal RNA". It matches the Rfam family "Bacterial small subunit ribosomal RNA", at positions 524 to 776 of the family's 1533-position model. The record is from RNAcentral.
UACGAAGGGGGCUAGCGUUGCUCGGAAUCACUGGGCGUAAAGGGUGCGUAGGCGGGUCUUUAAGUCAGGGGUGAAAUCCUGGAGCUCAACUCCAGAACUGCCUUUGAUACUGAAGAUCUUGAGUUCGGGAGAGGUGAGUGGAACUGCGAGUGUAGAGGUGAAAUUCGUAGAUAUUCGCAAGAACACCAGUGGAGAAGGCGGCUCACUGGCCCGAUACUGACGCUGAGGCACGAAAGCGUGGGGAGCAAACAGG